This is a transfer RNA of Camelus ferus (Wild Bactrian camel), 72 nucleotides long. It matches the Rfam family "tRNA". Rfam says of the family: Transfer RNA (tRNA) molecules are approximately 80 nucleotides in length. Their secondary structure includes four short double-helical elements and three loops (D, anti-codon, and T loops). NCBI's taxonomy places the organism in Eukaryota, Metazoa, Chordata, Mammalia, Artiodactyla, Camelidae. The record is from Rfam.
GAGGGUAUAGCUGAGUGGUAGAGUGCGCAUCUAGUAUGCACAAGGUCCUGGGUUCAAUCCCCAGUACCUCCA